Poecilia latipinna (sailfin molly) is the source of this 2211-nucleotide long non-coding RNA. RefSeq lists it as uncharacterized. The record is from RefSeq and is a predicted model, not a curated record. Lineage: Eukaryota; Metazoa; Chordata; Actinopteri; Cyprinodontiformes; Poeciliidae. The transcript has 2 exons.
UUCAUAAUUCCUCUUAGAAAAAACUCAUAAUCCUUGUUUGAGCUUGAAGAACAAAAUGAAUGACGCCACUUUGCUCAUCUUGUUUAACAAUUUAUAUUAGAGGGCAAACUCCUUUCGCUAAGCAACGACGAUGACAAAAUGAAUGCUGUUAAUAAGAGUAGAAGCUGACAGAGCUAAGUGCGGGAACAUUUCCUCUCCAUCUCCCACAGCCAAAUAAAAAGCUUUAUUGGCACAACAAAUGCGAUGCCUGGGAGGCGAUCAGGAGAAAAGGGAGGCGUUGAAUGACACAAGAUUCAUAUGUAGAACAAAGUGGGACACCUGGAAAGAUACUUCUGCUGUGCCAAAUCACCAGUUAAUUGCCUGGCAUAGAGCUGCAACUAUCCUCUUACUUGUUUUGGCCUCUUGUCGAGCCAGUGAAGAAUGCUGCAUUUAACCUCAUGCUGACUUUCAUUUCAACAUGAAACUGUUGAGUUUAAGGCAGCCCUGUUCACUUUCUGUGAUAAAAACCUGGUCAAGGAUUGCUGUCACUGAGUAGAUUAGAUUAUGGCGGCGAUGAUGCAUUACCCUACUCUCAGUUUUAAUAUUUUAAACUAUCUGUAUCUGCUAGAUACAUAUCACUUUUUCCUGUUGCUUCCAGUCCUUCCAGUGGGUAGUUUAUCUGUCCAUGUUGUACAGUUGUUUUGAGUGACUAUAACAGUCCCCUUCUGUCACUUGAGAAAGAUUCAACACCAAAGGCUUUUUAACACUUUUGAUGUGUGGUUCUAUAUGCUAAUGAAAUGAUUGGGAUUUAUUUAUUUUUUUUUUUUUAUCUACUUGAUCUUAUUCCCUCUAGCUUAGUAUGAAAGAUAAGGACAACUGCCGUGAUGUGUUUUUCACGUUAAGAAAAGGUUGAAUGUGACCACCUCAGAGGUUCCAGAUCACACCAUGGCAAAGAGCUGGUUCCCGUACAGACUUGAGAAAACAGAGAUAAAUUACCGUAAUAGUUGGGCCAUUGCUUCCCUCAUACAUUAGACCAAUUAGUGGUCACCGCUAGGAACCUCUGCUUUGGUGGGUUGCUUUAAUAAAUAAUAAUAAAAAAAGUAAUUCAGACCAUAUGAUUUUGUUGAAUUAUCCCUCCUUUAAGUCACCACUGUUGUGAGUUAUUAUUACUGAGCAGUACAAAUGAGAACAGAACUGUCCUCUGCUGUCUUCAUUAUGAUUUAUUUCACUCUGGCUUCUGCGGGGAAAGGAUAAAAUUCUUGUGAGGCUAUAGAGAAUGGUAAUGACUAUUCAGAAGGCAUACAGAAUCUUUGAUCAGAUAUGGUGAAUAUGAAUAAUACAAUCAUUAAAAACUUUUUGUGGGAUUCAAGUGGAAUGGAGAUAGUUAAUUUCAUCAACACCGUGUGUUGCAAUGUGGAGAUGUCUAACUAUUUAAACAUUAUAUGCAUAUUGGAGAUUUAUGUCCAGCCCCAAAGUUACAUCAACGUUCUUUAUUACAUUGUCCAUUUCUCUAUUUCAGUCCCAUCUUUUUUUAGUUCAUGGUUCAUCAUUCAUGACAUUUAAUUGGGGAACUCAGAAUGAAUCAUAAAGGUCACAAAGCAAAAUUGAUCUUAAUUGGCUUGUUGUAAUCAAAAUGCUGUUAUGUGCUAAAUGAAUGCUCUAAUGUGAGCAUUAAAACAUUCAUUAGCCUGAGAGAAUGAAGGAUAAUUACCAAGGAUGCAAUUACAGGCAUGAGCACCAGUAAAAGCACAUUUAAAUCGCAAAUCUGGUGAAUACACAACAUUCCUUGUUGAUUUUAAGUCUUUGAAAGAUUUUUCACUGGUAGGAAGCCAUGAGUUUGUUCCUUAAAGUGGUGUUUACUUUUCAGUUAAUGUUUUUACAAGGAACACAGAUGCUGAAAAAGGGCCUCAUGGCCAGGGCUAAUGUCUUCCUUAAAGGACUAAUGGGCUUUUAAGUAUAGUAUUUCACUUCUAGCUUCACUGAAAUGUGAAUUUUCUAUUAUGGCACCGUGCACUCUGCGCUGACUGCUAAUGUGAAGAACAACAAAACACCGGAUCUUUUCUGACAAUUCAUUUUCAUAUAAUAUGUAUAAUAACUUUUUAAAAAUAACUAAGGAUUCUGAAUAAUUUCAGGGUUCCUUGGAGAAAAGCCAACUUCUUGUUGUGUGUCUCUUUUUACUUGUGACUCAGUUGUAAACACAAUAAAGUUAAAUAACAUACAAAAGUUAAAUGA